AAUACUUAACAAUCCCAGAAAUACAUUUGCUGAGGCUGUCUAUGAAUCUGAUCGUGGCAGCUCUUAUGUGUCAUACCCCGGUUCGACACAGUCUUUAACUCCAGUGAAUAUUGCUGCUGAGUGUCCAUAUUUGGAAAACAUGGAACGUUCAUUUGCUUUAUUUAUGUGCUCAUAAUGCAACUUUAUUGCUAUGGCAGAAACUAAUCCUGACAUAUAUACUACCAUGCAGCCAUACUUGAGCGCACAUGUUGUUCACUUCAGUAAAUAGCAUUCUGACUACUGCCCUUAAACUCGAGACUAGAAUGGGCAGUUCAUAGAGAAACUGACGGCUGAAAGCUGAUGUGGCUUGCUCGAACCUGUUGAAGCUUGCAGCAGCCUGUAGUUUCACCUGCUGAGUGUCAGGCGUCGUUGUGUAGAUGUGAGGAAGAGAGGACCCAAACGCAAGACUCACAUGUUGGUGAAGGCUGAUGUUUAUUGUGAUGAACAGAUGAACUCAACAUGAGAAGUAUAGCUGAUUGACUGGAAAGACUGGCUGAAUGACUGAACUGGAACACAGAUGCGGGAUCGACGAUGACAAGACAAUGAACUGGAGGAAACUAAGGACUUAAAUACACAGGCUAAUGACCGGUCAGUACACAGCUGAACAUAAUCUGACUAAUAAGACAUAGGAGGUAGAACUAGACAUGAUGCACAUAGACAGAAAGCUGGCACGGUAAACCAGGAAACAUGGACAUGUGGAAAAUAAACAGAACAAGAAGAAAUUGAAAACACUGGGUCAACGGCCCAGGAACCAUGUGAGAUAUGGAAGAUGACUUCAUCCUCUGUAAUGAUGCAAUCUCCUGGCCUUUGCAGGCAAGCCAGAGGAGAAGAGGCAGAGGGGAGAAGCCCACCCAUCAUUUUUCACUUUCUACAAGCCGCUGUUAGACGGUAGUUUGAAGAACCAAACCAAUUGGUCGUAGUAAUUCGGAUGCUGACGAGCUGGGAAGAACUUUGCUUUCAUAUCAAAACUCACUUUUACAGUUAUGAUUGAUUUUGCUUUCAUGUCAUCAUGUUUUGUGUGACUGUAGUUUAUUUAUUCAAUAACUCCUCUCAGUUAUUAGAGGUACACAAUGUGCAUGUACCUUCAUGUGUGGUUAUCAUGCAUUGUUGUGUAUGUAUAAAUCAACUCUCUCUGGGAUAUACUGAGAGUUUAGUUAACUACUGAUAAUGAACUACAGACAUCAGAGCCCUAAGGAGCUCAUCCUUACUAAUUCUCUUCCACUAUGCAGCAAUCUCUUUUAUAGUAUCUUGUGAUGAUACCUUGAUAAUGACAUCAGUGGGAUAUUGGACGAGCUAUUUAAACAUCACAAAUGACAAAAUGUAAAUAAUAAAAAGAAAUAUGUAACACUUAGUGCUAAGUGCUAAAUAUGUGCCAUAAAAAUGAUUUAACAGGCAGUCAGUAGAUGAUUAUGGACCAUCACUUUACCUUUUGUAAAGCAGAAUCAAAGUUCCAGGCAGCAAAACUUGCACAGUACAUAUCUGCUGGCAAUACAAUUUUUAGUCAGUGAAUUCCCAAAGACAAGAUUUGAUUAUGUCACGAUACAUAAAAAGUAUCAAACUUUAGGCAAACUAUGUGAAAAGCCUGAUUAGCUAGGAUCGCUCUUGA
Long non-coding RNA from Oreochromis niloticus (Nile tilapia), 1645 nucleotides. RefSeq lists it as uncharacterized. The record is from RefSeq and is a predicted model, not a curated record. The transcript is spliced from 2 exons. NCBI's taxonomy places the organism in Eukaryota, Metazoa, Chordata, Actinopteri, Cichliformes, Cichlidae.